GCUUCCCUGUACCCAAUGGGACGCCCCAGAGGCGUGCGUACGUACGACCCGCUGACACCUCCCACCUCUUCACCUUCUCGGCGUGGAAACCGCGAGAGCGAGGUAGAGCGUUAGUACUUGCAGCGCUUGUGUCAGGUUUCUCAGUGGUUCCUCUAAUGUACUCCUGCAUCUUUGCACUCUCAUAUCGAUGAGAAAGGUGCGCCACCCAGUAUUCCUGGGUUGGGACCAAAAUGCAAGCCACUGUAUAUUCCUCAAAUUAUGAGGGCAAGGAUUUUCUAUGGUUAUUGGAAUGGAAUCUGAAGCCCUACUGACUGGAAUCCAAUCCUGUCUUCACCGCGUCCUUUGCUCUAAGCCCAGUGUGGGGCUUGAACUCAGGACCCUGAGAUCAGGAGUUGCAUGUUCCGUGGACUGAGCCAGCCAGGUGCCCCUCAAGGGAGAGGGUUGAUCAACCUGCUGACGGUGGAGAAAAUGAGUCCAAAGCCUCCUCGUUGAGAGGUUUUCGUUUCUGCGUGAAGGAAGGAAAAUGAAAACAGCAAGUUCUCACAGUGGUGGUGGUUGCAGAACAACACAUUUCAGGAUGACAGCGGAAGAGGCAAGGUCAACAUUACAUGGUGAUCCAGAUGAGACCCAAAGGAGAUGAACCUCUGAGGAACUAACAAUCCCCAGAACCCUGCAAAGUACUCACCUUAGUACCUGGCGCUCUCCGCUUCUGUGAGUCAUCUUCUUGCUUUUAGUUCGUCCAGAGAUUUCAUCUAUUGGAAAAGACAUCUACAGAAAGACUCUUCAACUCCGUUGGAAGGGCCCCUAUCAGGUACUGUUAAUGAAUCCUUGUGCUGCCAAACUCCGAGGAAUGACUCUUGGAUCCAUGCAUCACAUCUUUUUUUUUUUUUUAAGAUUCAAUUUUUUAAGUAAUCUCUCCACCCAAUGUGGGGCUCAAACUCACAACUCCGAGAUCAAGAGUUGCACAUUCCUGCGACUGACCCAGCCAGGCAUCCCCCCAUGUGUCACAUGUAAAGAAAGAACCAAACCCUGACUAGAUCUGCACACCGAGUACCUGGAAAUAAAGAUUCCCGGGAAUUGAAGCAGAUGACAGCUGAAGGAGACAGCUUUCCUAAGAUGACUGGACCAGACCUGUGUACCUUUUUCUUGCUGUUGCUUCUUACUUUAUUUCCUCCCUUUCUUUGAUGGUCUGAUCUGUUGCAAAAGGGGAACCUUUUUUGACUGUUGGAUCUGACACCAGAAACUUUGAUUUGUUCUUCCCUAUUUAUUAUUUGUUUCCCUGAAUCCAAGGGAAAUACAAAUGAGAUAACUCCUCUUUGCAAGGCUUUUUAAAAAAAGAUUUUUAUUUAUUUUUUAGAGAGUGUGUGCAAAACCGAGUG
Molecule: long non-coding RNA, 1379 nt
Organism: Ailuropoda melanoleuca (giant panda)
Lineage: Eukaryota; Metazoa; Chordata; Mammalia; Carnivora; Ursidae
Exons: 5
Source: RefSeq, a predicted model, not a curated record